This 204-nucleotide long non-coding RNA is filed under the name Nicotiana benthamiana. RNAcentral's name for it is "long non-coding RNA (NBEN_LNC017948)". Lineage: Eukaryota; Viridiplantae; Streptophyta; Magnoliopsida; Solanales; Solanaceae. The record is from RNAcentral.
UCAAGGCUCAAAUAUAUCAAAUGAAGGUAACCGUCAAUAAUCAACAUACAAGUAGGCCGGAUGAGAGACGCAUAAAAGGUUUGGAAAAUAAGAUCAAUGGGUAUCGGGACAAGUUGUAAAGAUCUAAGAACAUCAUGGCAAAGCUCAAGGAACAAUGGGAUACAAAGAUAGAAGAGUAUCGCCAGUAUUUAACCAAUUGAAACG